GAAAAUAUGUACAUACAUAUCACAAAUUCAGCAUAAUGUCAAGUUUACAACAUACUGUGAUGCAAAGUUUUGUGCCACUGCUACGAAAUUUACUCUUUUUUUUUUUUUACCAACAAGUAGAGAUUACCUAGCACCUUCCUUAAACAGGAUAUUUGGUCGAAGCCAGGCCGGCUUGCCACCAACCUCACCAUCCUUAGUACGAUGAUCAUGAUCCUUCUUCAGCUUCGCAUUAAUGCAUUUUCCUACAGAUACACCAAGCUUUGCUGCUGUAAGUAGGCUAAACGCAAUAGAAAGUGGUCGAAUACACCAGUGAAAGUCCUCGAGGUGCUGAUACUUCUUGAUAAUGCCAGGACAUGUAUCAAAUGAUACUUCCAUCACCUCAUCUGGAUCAGCUAAGAAAGUAUUAGGUUCAUCACCAAAUACCAACCUUCCUGGAAAUUGAACGACAAGACAACCAUUUGGAAGUAUCUGUGAUAUUCUACCAGUAGCCCAUCCUCCUCCCCAUUUCUUAGGCCAUUCAAACCUGGGAGUUUCAACAUUUGAUUUCAAUUGCACGAAUUGUCCCAAGAAAUAUGGGUCAACUUUUUCGACUUCAGAAGAAUGUCCUGUCCAUAAUGUUUCUAAGCCUAAAAUACCAACACUGAUGCUUCCAUCACGCUGCACCGAGUGUAAGAUGCCCACAGAGAAGUGAUUCUUACUUUCAUUGACCAAGCGCACCCAAUCCCCAGUUGCCAAACCACAUGUAACCCUCUCUAUGGUUGAUGCAUUUACCCGAAGAGGGCUCCGUAAAUUGGGGACUCGUACCAGAACAAAUCCAUCUCGAUCAGUAUCUUUCUCGAGACCAACAACACUUCCUUCCAACACAGCCAAAUCUUGAGAAUUUCUGGAGUUGAACAUUUUUCUGGAGCGAAUAGUAUCUCCCACUUGAAGAUGAUCUUUUGAAAGGAACCAUGUGGUAAAGCCACAGGUUUUGCUUUUCUCAGACAGAGUUCCUCCUAUGUCGCUCCCCUCUCCUUCACUAUAAACAGCAUUCUUUGAGCUUUCAAAUGCUUGCAAAAUGUCCACCAUCAGAGGUCGAUUGCGGAGAUCAUACUCAAAACAGCCAUUGAGAACAUUCUCAAUAGCAGUGGGGAGGCCACCAGGAAGUUGUGGCUUUUCUUGGUUUAUCACCACCAAACGGUAGAUAUCAUAGACUGAUUUACCGAACCAGGGCUGAACACCAGUCAACAUCUCGAUAACGCUGCAUCCAAAUCCCCAAGCAUCAGUCUCACAAGUUAUUGGGCCUCUAACCUCAGGUUCCCACUGUUCCGGAGCCAUGUAAUUCGGAGUCCCACGCCUUAGUGCUAAAUCUGAAUCAGGCGGUUGAACUCCAAGGAGAAGAUACGGUAUACCAAAGUCUCCGAGGAACACUUCAUCAUGUUCGUUCAGAAGAAAAUUAGUUGGCUUAAGGUUCAGAACCAGGACAUUCAUUGAAUGCAAUUCUUGUAUUACUUUACCCAAUUCAAUACCAUAUCUAAGCACAUCAGGUAACUGGAGCUUCCCUCUUUUCAGACGAGCCAUUUUAUCACCAACUGACCCCUCAUAGGAUCUCAUAACUAUACAGAUCUUUCCAGAUAUUACAGUGAUACCAUGCAGCCAACAAACACCUUGGAUUUGUUUAGACUUCAACUUCACCCAUAAAUCCUCGAACUUACUUAAGAAAGCCUUUACCUGAUCCUCAUUUAUAGGAUGUAACCUUUUUACAGCUACUUCAUGAUGCUCAUCGUACUCAGUAGCUGAUUGAUGAUGUGUGGCUGACCAAACAUCACCAAAGUAUCCACGUCCGAUCCUAUGUUUAAGUUUGAUUGAAGCAGGAUCAAUGUACGGACCGGCUGGGGCAGGUGCAGCAACAACAGUUCUAAGAUGAUCAGGAUCUCCUUCAUAAAGCUCAUAAUCGAAAGAGGCUGCCAAAGGAGAUCCUUUCAUAUCUUUAGCCAUUUU
This 1980-nucleotide unclassified non-coding RNA is filed under the name Hevea brasiliensis (rubber tree). Lineage: Eukaryota; Viridiplantae; Streptophyta; Magnoliopsida; Malpighiales; Euphorbiaceae. The record is from RNAcentral.